UACGUAGGGUGCGAGCGUUGUCCGGAAUUAUUUGGCGUAAAGAGCUCGUAGGCGGCUUGUCGCGUCGGAUGUGAAAGCCCGGGGCUUAACUCCGGGUCUGCAUUCGAUACGGGCAGGCUAGAGUUCGGUAGGGGAGAUCGGAAUUCCUGGUGUAGCGGUGAAAUGCGCAGAUAUCAGGAGGAACACCGGUGGCGAAGGCGGAUCGCUGGGCCGAUACUGACGCUGAGGAGCGAAAGCGUGGGGAGCGAACAGG
This 253-nucleotide ribosomal RNA is filed under the name uncultured bacterium. Its description in RNAcentral is "partial 16S ribosomal RNA". It matches the Rfam family "Bacterial small subunit ribosomal RNA", at positions 524 to 776 of the family's 1533-position model. The record is from RNAcentral.